RNAcentral lists this unclassified non-coding RNA (409 nucleotides) under Hevea brasiliensis (rubber tree). Lineage: Eukaryota; Viridiplantae; Streptophyta; Magnoliopsida; Malpighiales; Euphorbiaceae. The record is from RNAcentral.
GGCACAAGUUGAACAAAUGAGAGCACAAGCUCAAGCAAAGAUGGUGAAGAAGAUUGCAAUGGCAAGACAAAAAUCAGAAGAAAAGCGUGCUGCAGCUGAAGCUAGAAGAAAUCAGCAAGCGGGAAAAACUACAGAGCAAGUUCAAUACAUACGCCAGACAGGUCGACUUCCUUCUUCGUCUUUCACAUGUUGUGGCUGGUUAUGAUAAGAACGAUUAAGCAGCAGCAGGAAUGCAGAUCGUAAUCAAGUUUCGCAUGCACAUUAAACUUUCGAGUUAGCUUCUCUCAUAAUGUCCGCUUUUGUAUUAACAGAAAGUAUAGUAUCAUGUUGAACAUUGUCCGUCCUUGUAUCUAUAUUUUUGCAACCUGCAAAUAUAAGUUUUUACAUGGAAUGAAGUUUGGGUUGGUCA